This 466-nucleotide ribosomal RNA is filed under the name uncultured bacterium. RNAcentral describes it as "bacterial SSU rRNA". It matches the Rfam family "Bacterial small subunit ribosomal RNA", at positions 28 to 507 of the family's 1533-position model. The record is from RNAcentral.
GAUGAACGCUGGCGGCGUGCAUAACACAUUCAAGUCGAACGGUGACGGGGACUUCGGUCCCCUGAUCAGUGGCGGACGGGUGAGUAACGCGUGAGCAACCUGCCUCUGCGUGGGGGGAUAACGAUUGGAAACGAUCGCUAAUACCGCAUAAUGUAAUUUCUUGGCAUCUUGAAAUUACCAAAGAUUUAUUGCGCAGAGAUGGGCUCGCGUCUGAUUAGAUAGUUGGUGGGGUAACGGCCUACCAAGUCGACGAUCAGUAGCCGGACUGAGAGGUUGAACGGCCACAUUGGAACUGAGAAACGGUCCAGACUCCUACGGGAGGCAGCAGUGGGGAAUAUUGGGCAAUGGGCGAAAGCCUGACCCAGCGACGCCGCGUGCGGGAAGAAGGUCUUCGGAUUGUAAACCGCUGUUGAUAGGGAAGAAGAAAGUGACGGUACCUAUCGAGGAAGUCACGGCUAACUACGUG